Molecule: ribosomal RNA, 253 nt
Filed under: uncultured bacterium
Lineage: Bacteria
Description: partial 16S ribosomal RNA
Rfam family: Bacterial small subunit ribosomal RNA
Source: RNAcentral
UACGUAGGGUGCGAGCGUUAAUCGGAAUUACUGGGCGUAAAGCGUGCGCAGGCGGUUUGAUAAGACAGAUGUGAAAUCCCCGGGCUUAACCUGGGAACUGCGUUUGUGACUGUCAGACUAGAGUGCGGCAGAGGGGGGUGGAAUUCCACGUGUAGCAGUGAAAUGCGUAGAGAUGUGGAGGAACACCGAUGGCGAAGGCAGCCCCCUGGGUCGACACUGACGCUCAUGCACGAAAGCGUGGGGAGCAAACAGG